This 6415-nucleotide long non-coding RNA is filed under the name Sus scrofa (pig). RNAcentral describes it as "lncRNA (ENSSSCG00015039715.1)". Lineage: Eukaryota; Metazoa; Chordata; Mammalia; Artiodactyla; Suidae. The record is from RNAcentral.
AGUGGCCAUGUCAUAAGCAGCCCUAAGGAGAGGCCCAGGUGGCAAGAAACUGAGGCUUCCAGUCCUCUGUACAUGAAUGAGCAUGGAUGGAGAUUCUCCAGCCUAGUCAGCCUUCGGGUGACUGAAGUCCUGGCAGACCUCCUAGCUGUAGUCUCUUGAGAGCUCUUGAGCCAGAGGCACCCAACUAAGCCACUCCUGGAUUUCUGAUACACAGAAACGUCCGGACCUGGAAGUGACAAAGAAUAGUUUCCAAAACUUGAAAGAAGAGGAGAUAAGAUUGGCUUUGAGAAGUUAAACUUCAAAAUCAGCACAUAUGGAUUAGAACAGAGAGAUACAAAAUCAUCUUAAAGCAGUGUUUAAGUGUCCUUCUGACUUGCUCUAAACUGAACCAAAAAUACAACUGCUUUCUUCUUAUCAAUCAGUGGUGGGAAAUACCAUGAAUGCUCUUUUUUUAAUGUGUGAAAAUCUCUCAGAAGAGUUCCUAGAACAACAAUAAGUGUUUUGCUUAUAACCAAGAGAAACUUAGUAAACCAAUAAGUGGAUUAUUAAAAAGAUAUCAAGAUUUGAUAUUCAUAAAUAAAGGAGUAUAUUACCAGAGUUUAUUAAGAACUCCCACUUGGUGUCCUAAUAAGAACUCUGGCUGCUACGUACAGUGCUGGGCAGCAUUCAUAUUCCUUGGCUGGUGGCCCCUCCUCCAUCUUCAAAGCCAGUGAAAGCAGGCUGAGUCCUUUCCCUGUUGCCAUCUCUCUAGCUUUCUGCAGCCAGGAAUGAUUCUUUGCUUUUAAGGACUCAUGCGAAUGGAUUAGACCCACUUGAAUAAUCCAGUGUAAUCUUCCCAUCUCAAGGUCCUUACCUUAAUCACAUCUGCAAAGUCCCUUUUGCCGUGUAGGUUAACAUAUUCACAGGUUCUGGGGGUUAGAAUGGCCUUUGAGGGCCAUUAUUCUACAUAUCACUGUGUGUGUGUGUGUGUGUGUGUGUGUGUGUGUGUGUGUGUAUAUAUAUAUAUAUAAGUAUAUUAUAUAACAAAUUCUGUAUAUAAAGAUAUUAACUCUACCUGUAUCAUAUAUUACAUAUUAUAAAAUAUGACAUAAUUAAAAAAUUUCUAUAUAUGUAUUGAAAAUUUAAAUUGGAAAUAAAAAUUUCUGUAUGUAUUUAUACACACACACACACACACACAUAUGAAAUAGUGAAAUAUCUGAGUCUUUUUUCAUAGUUGCUUGUCACCAGUCUUACUUCUCUACUCCUUGCUCCAUACUUGUGACUUGAAUGGAAUGGCAUAUUUCUAUAUUUUCAUUUUUUCACUUGCUUCUGCCUUUAUUGAAGUGAUUAUAGCUGUUAGAUAGGCUGUGUUUAUAAGUAUUUAUGAAUAAACACCACCCCACCCCCAGCAGUAACUUAAAACUACACGGGCCUAAUUUCCCUCGUGUUUUAUCUCCCUUGUGGGGAGACCGAAAGGCUCUGCUCUGUGCUGUUCUUACUUGGGGACAACAGUGGAGGGAAAAUCAGCUCCUCAAUCUGCAAAGGCUGAGAAAAGGAAGGGAAUGUGGUGGAUUGUGCGCUCAUUCCUGAAACUUCACUUCCGGUCGCAUUUCAUCAACAAAGGCACAGCAUUUGGCCAAAUCUAAGUUCAACAUCUCACUGUAUAUUUAUGGAUAGACCUAGUGACUCCCUUUAAACAUACAUAAACAUCCUUUCAAAAGUCCACAUCCUUUAAAAUAGAACCAUAGGCUUUAUCGUGAGAAAUUGCAGUCCCCUGCUCCACUCUCUAGCAGCCACCACUUUAAAUUAUUUCAGUGAUUUCUUCCAGGAUUUACCUCCAAGUUUCUAAAUAACAUGUGUAUCAUUCUAUUUCCCGACUUUUCCAUUUUAGCCACCAAAUUUUUAAGGGUGGGGAAGGUUCAACUUAGCUCUCUUCCUCACACAUCAUGUUUACAACAUCAUGAUCCUGUAAACAUCACAUACAGCUUGAGCUAUGGUUUCACUUAUACUAUGGCUUCAUUGUCUUUCUCGUGCAUUGUCUUCUUAACAUGAAUUAAGUCCCCCCCCCCCCGUUUUUUUUACAUUUGCUUAGUUUUCUGUGCAGCUAUUAUUAAUUUUCCCUGAGCUCUCUGACCAAGCUAUAAAACUUCUCUUAACACAUUCAGACACACUGAGCCCUUCAUUAGCUUCAUUCUGUUCUCAGAAACGUCCCUUGUUGGCCUUCCGUCCUCCUGAUCCAGCUUUGUGACAGGUUACUUUCUAAGUCUAUUUACACCCACAAUUCCUAUUCCUUUAAAGCUGCAGGUUUCUAAUCAAGAAGAGGGGAAAAAAAGACUAGAUGACUUCUGAAAUCCCUGCUCUCUGUUCUGGAACUGUGACACAGAGAUGAAUAUUAUGUGAAGCCCAAAUAAAUUCCAAGGAUUGGCUCUGCUUUGUGCCCCCUGGCUAAAGCUUCUCAUUUACCCCAGCUCGGCUACUGGGCCUGGGUCCUCACUGGUCCAUCUUAGGCUUUGGUCGCCUACUUUGACUUCUCCACUCCACAACUUUCAAGAUCUUGGUUGUCCUCUGACUUCUGUUAUCCUGGAACCAAUAACAAAAGAAGAAGAGUGAGGAGCAGCCUUAUUUUUAGGAAUUCCUGAAUUCCCAAGAUCCAGCCCUAGAAGCACUUCCAUAUUCUUGCUCCUCCUUUGUCCCAUUAGAAGCAAAAAUUAUUAGACUUUACUCAAAAAGUGGAAAAUCCAAGUCAUAGAGAAAAACAGUGUGAAAGUUAAUAUCUUGUUAUGCUCUUAUCUGGGAACUGAUUGAAUUUCUAAAAGCCCUUGAGGUGCUCCUGCUGGCAGCUGGGAUUGAAGGUUCAAAGCAGAGAAACUGAGCACGUGGGGGAAAUGCUUUUACUUUAUGAUUUACUUCUCACUCCUGACGAUGGGAUGCAGUGUGCAAGGGGGGAGUGGAAUGGGAAUAUAAAUAUUGCUAUAAUAAUGAGAAUGCUUUCAUACCUGGUGAGGCAGGGAGAAUGAUGAAAAUGGUUCUGAGACACUGAUGAAACCCAGAGUGGUGUGGUUCUGAGUGGAGAAUUUGUUAAGAAACCUGAGAAAUUUCUGCCUACUUUAGUCUACCAUCAAGGAAAUUAUCCCCCCUUAUUUUUUUUUAAGCUCAUUUUCUGUUCUGUGUAGCACAACUGGAGAUUAGAAUAGAAGAGAUGUUCCUGGGGCCUUCUCUGAAAACAAUAGCCCCACCCCAACGACAGGGAAAGGAUUGAUGCUAGGAAUUACCAACUCGUAAAUGGAAAUUAAUACUGUAAUUAGCAAGGUAGGAAAAUCUAUCUUAUUGUAAAUUGUGAUACUUAUAGAUUGUGAUAUCCCCCCUGGGAUCACCAGGUUAUUUAAAAGGAAUAAAUCAGGAACCACAUUCAAGCCUAUAAGGAUGUCAGAAAUAUUCAGGGCAGACAUACACCUAAAACAGAUAAUACUUUCACCAGGGUUGUAAAACAGUGGAUAAAGUCAGUUUUUUAAAAGAUACACAUUUGUGAUUUUUGACACUUCUUAGAUGGAAAAUGUUUUCAGAUUGGCUUUUGAAUAUCAACAUUGUUACCUAGACAGCUUUCUAGCAAGCAGACUGAAGACAUUGGAUAAAAAGGUUAGUCUCACAAAAUACGAGGAGAUGAAUAUUGCAUUUCAAAUAAAAGCAGAAGUCUCCAAGGAUGAAAUAUAAACAUUUGAUAAACCUGCAGCUCUGAUAAAAAUCUAUAUAAUGGCCUUAACAUUUCUAUAGCUGUCCAAAAUAUGGAGCCUGCCUUCACAUCCAUUAACUCAUUUGGUUCUCAAGUGUGUGUGCGUGUGUACAUAGUAUGGGAAGAGGUAAAUGAGAGGAAUGUUAAAAAAAAAAAAUCUUCAUUUUACAGAUGAGGAAGUGGAGCCCAGAAAGAUUCAAGCUCACACUGUCUCCCAGGUAUUAACAGACUGUGUGUAAUUAAUGUUACAUGCUCCUGAAUCAGAAUUUAAAUGGAGCCCAAAUGGAGCCCAAAUGGAGAUGCAACACAGAGAUGGCAUUCUAGCCACAGUAGUGUUGUGAUUUCAAGUUUAUUAGUUCAAGAAUGAAUCAAUGCAAGCAAUGUAGGAAAAGUACUCACCUCCCCACCUUGAAAAUUGAUUAAGGAAUAGCAGAAUUUAGUAUUGUCCCCAUUAUUACACCCACAUUUGACAGAUUGGUUAGAGCUCUGAUAGUUAUAGUGCAUCAUAGCCUGCCUUGAAUUGGGGCUCUACAUGAGUACGUGUCUUCCUUUCUGAACCGCGAGAGCUCACAGACCAGCAACCAGAUCUUUAAUAUGUUGUUUCCAUCCAGUGUAUAUCCCAGUGCCAGUGCUUCAUAAACAUGUAGAGUGGAAUAAACCAUGAGACACUUUGCAAUACCACCAAUUGGGUCAUGAUGUAGGCGUGCAGACUGGAAGAUUGUUGCAUCCACUUGGAGGGUUGGAGGUGUCAGAUGCCUCCCUUUUAAACCAUAUGACCUGGUUCCUGUCCUUUUUAUGCAGUUUGGCCCCAUUUCUUGGGAUGAAAUCAGUUGUAGAUGACCUCCUACUUUCAAACAGAUUGAAAAUGUGCCUGCAAGUCUAGUAACAAACUCAUGUGCUGAAAGGGAUGGUUUCCAUGUUCCAAAACUUUAAAUCCCUUAUCAGGAACACUGGGCCCUGUGACAGGGUUGUGGGAACCCUGCAAACCCCAUGAGUGAUGACCCACGUAAUAUUAAUAACCCUCAUCCCCACUCUGACCCAAACCCUGGACUCCAUCCUCAGCCAGGCUCUCAUGGAAGGACAGGCCCAGUCAGGGAUUGAUGCACAGGCUUCAGGAGCAUCUGUGGAGAAAACCUCUGCAAACUUUAAAGAGAAAUGCAUCAUGAAUGAUUCCUAGUUUGUCUAUAAAGAGGAGAAAAGAUUAAAAUAAAUGUAUAUGUAAGUAUAAACAAAAGAUAGGAGUAAAUAGAACGAAAAAAGUUUUAAUGACUUUUUCUAGCUGGUUGGAUUAUGAUUUGGGGUUUUUCUUUUCUAUUUUUUUAAUUGGUUUAAGGUAUUCAUUGUUUAACAUCUAUAAAUACUUUUACGUUUAUUUUUAAUCUUCUUGUAAGACAUUAAAUACACUACUAUUAAGACUAAAAUCCUUUUUGGCUACCAUCCCCAAAUUCCCAGGGGUAAUCACAUUACUUUGGCAUGCAUCUUUCUGGAUUUUUUCUUAAUAUAUAUUUACACAUACAUAUGUAUGCACAUAUAAAACAGUAUUGUUUUGUUUCUACAUAGGUGGCAUCAUACAAUACAUAUUCUGCAAUUUUUGUUCCAUAUCAGUUGCAUAUAAAUGUACCUCAUUAAAAGAAAUACUGUUCCAUCAAAUGGAGAGACUACAGGUUUAGUCCCACUGAUCCUGCACUAGAAUCAUGUAAGGAGUCUUAAAAUCAAACCAAUGCCCAGGCCCCAUCCCUGGGAACUGAUGCAACUUUUUUUGCUUUCCCUAUUGCCCAAGUGUUUUAAUUUGUUACUGUUUUAUAACAAUAUCACUCUGCGUAAUCUUGCACAUAUAUGUGGGUGGUAUUCUAGGAAGAUUUUUUUUUAAGCACUUACAUUGCUUAUUGCAAUACCAAUUUACACUCUUACCACAGUAUGUGAAAAUAUCCCAUACACUGCUCUACCUUGGAUAUUAUCUAAUUUAAAAAAUUUUAAACUUUUUGCUGCUUGGAUGGAUUAAAACAAAUAGUAUGUCAUUUAUUUUCAUUCUACUGAUAAUUUUUAAGAUUUAUAUCUUUUCUUAUGUACAGUGAGAGAUUAAGGGCACAAGUUACACAGGUUUGUAUCCCAGCUGAGUUAUUUGCCUUCAGUCUAGUUGUUAAUCUCUCUGUGCCUUAGUUUGCUCACUUGUAAAAUGAAGAGAGUAAUAGUGCCUAGUUCAGAGGCUUAUUGUAAGGAUGAAAUGAUUUAAUAUAGGUAAGGUUUUAGAACAGUAUCAUCACAGAGCAAGCAUACCACAGAUGUUAGUUACUUGUUUUGGUCUUCUGUGUUUUUUUUACUAUUGUUACUUAAUCAGAAAUAUUUGGAUAAACACACACAUACAAAUUGAAGACAUAUCAUGAUUUAAAUAAGUAGCUAAUAUUUGGGAUCCCAAAGUGAUUUAAAAAAAAAAAAAUCUUGGAGUUCCCGUUGUGGCGCAGUGGUUAACGAAUCCGACUAGGAACCAUGAGGUUGUGGGUUCGGUCCCUGCCCUUGCUCAGUGGGUUAAUGAUCCGGCGUUGCCGUGAGCUGUGGUGUAGGUUGCAGAUGUGGCUUGGAUCCCGCUUUGCUGUGGCUCUGGCGUAGGCCGGUGGCUGCAGCUCCGAUUAGACCCCUAGCCUGGGAACCUCCUAUGCCGCGGGAGUGGCCCAAGAAAUAGCUAAAAAGACAAAAAAAAAAAAAAAA